UACGAAGGGUGCUAGCGUUGUUCGGAAUUACUGGGCGUAAAGCGCGCGUAGGCGGCUUGUCAAGUCAGGGGUGAAAUCCCACAGCUCAACUGUGGAACUGCCUUUGAAACUGUCAGGCUAGAGUGUCGGAGGGGAUAGCGGAAUUGCUAAUGUAGAGGUGAAAUUCGUAGAUAUUAGCAGGAACACCGGUGGCGAAGGCGGCUAUCUGGACGACAACUGGCGCUGAGGCGCGAAAGCGUGGGGAUCAAACAGG
RNAcentral lists this ribosomal RNA (253 nucleotides) under uncultured bacterium. RNAcentral's name for it is "partial 16S ribosomal RNA". It matches the Rfam family "Bacterial small subunit ribosomal RNA", at positions 524 to 776 of the family's 1533-position model. The record is from RNAcentral.